This 416-nucleotide long non-coding RNA is filed under the name Rattus norvegicus (Norway rat). RNAcentral's name for it is "long non-coding RNA NONRATT001678". The record is from RNAcentral. Lineage: Eukaryota; Metazoa; Chordata; Mammalia; Rodentia; Muridae.
AGGGGAGCAAGGGGCUCGCUGCUUCGGGAAGGGGGGUCCCACCUGUUAUGCCGUUGGGGGUCAUCGAGGGGCUGAAGGGAAUCCCAAAGCCGCUGACUCUUGGCCCGCUGCGAUCAGGCCAGGAGGUACCAACUGUCACUCUGCCGCCCAGGGUUGUGGGGGUGGGGCUGCGAUUUGGGGGGAUCCACUUCUAAGCACUACGGGACCUCUGGCUGGCUUCUGCCUGAAAGGUCCUCAGCCCCGGGCUCUCCGGCUCCGCCACCGUCCACUCGCCCCAAUGUGACACCAGGCAGCCUUCCAGCCCGCACGCAGCACCUCGGAAAGGUGCCCACUGACGCCUCCGCCUUCCUCCCCGCCCAAGUUGGCGGGGGAGCCCCGCCGGCGGCCCGCCCCCUCGGAGCCGGGAUCGCGGCCGC